This 431-nucleotide long non-coding RNA is filed under the name Triticum aestivum (bread wheat). RNAcentral describes it as "long non-coding RNA (TAES_LNC008378)". Lineage: Eukaryota; Viridiplantae; Streptophyta; Magnoliopsida; Poales; Poaceae. The record is from RNAcentral.
GAGCAAGCAAGGAACUCAUCUCCUAGCAGUGUUAGCAUUAACAAGUAUGUGAGCACUCUUGUCAUCAUUUUAAAUGCCAUAUUUGCAUAUAAUAUUGAGCAUUAAAUCAUUGCUCAUUUGUAUGUUGUAGUAUGGGAUAGCCCAGGAAAGGUACAAACAAAUGCCGAGGGUGAAGGGGAAAGCAUUUGGCCUCUGGCCUCGUUGAAAAGAAUUAGAGGGCAAUUUGAAGAGGAAAUAGAGGAAUGAGGAGGCUCCAGCGUUCAAACAAAUGAGUCAAUCCAUUGACGCCAUUUUGUUGGAAAGCCUUUCAUUUGCAUAUAUUGUUGCAAGAAUGGCCAUUUAAAUUUGUUGUAGGCCUUUCCAAAAUCUACUUUGAAGAUAGCUAUGUCAAGUUUUGUCGACCACAACAUAUGGAUCCUUUCAUGUAAUAC